This 778-nucleotide ribosomal RNA is filed under the name uncultured Rhodocyclaceae bacterium. Its description in RNAcentral is "bacterial SSU rRNA". It matches the Rfam family "Bacterial small subunit ribosomal RNA", at positions 1 to 778 of the family's 1533-position model. The record is from RNAcentral. Lineage: Bacteria; Pseudomonadati; Pseudomonadota; Betaproteobacteria; Rhodocyclales; Rhodocyclaceae.
UAGCGUUUGAUCAUGGCUCAGAUUGAACGCUGGCGGCAUGCCUUACACAUGCAAGUCGAACGGCAGCACGGGAGCUUGNNNNUGGUGGCGAGUGGCGAACGGGUGAGUAAUACAUCGGAACGUACCCAGGAGUGGGGGAUAACGUAGCGAAAGUUACGCUAAUACCGCAUAUUCUGUGAGCAGGAAAGCAGGGGAUCGCAAGACCUUGCGCUGAUUGAGCGGCCGAUAUCAGAUUAGCUAGUUGGUGGGGUAAAGGCCUACCAAGGCGACGAUCUGUAGCGGGUCUGAGAGGAUGAUCCGCCACACUGGGACUGAGACACGGCCCAGACUCCUACGGGAGGCAGCAGUGGGGAAUUUUGGACAAUGGGCGCAAGCCUGAUCCAGCCAUGCCGCGUGAGUGAAGAAGGCCUUCGGGUUGUAAAGCUCUUUCGGCCGGGAAGAAAUCGCAUGGGCUAAUACCCUGUGUGGAUGACGGUACCGGAAUAAGAAGCACCGGCUAACUACGUGCCAGCAGCCGCGGUAAUACGUAGGGUGCGAGCGUUAAUCGGAAUUACUGGGCGUAAAGCGUGCGCAGGCGGUUUUUUAAGAUAGGCGUGAAAUCCCCGGGCUCAACCUGGGAACUGCGCUUAUGACUGGAAGACUAGAGUAUGGCAGAGGGGGGUGGAAUUCCACGUGUAGCAGUGAAAUGCGUAGAGAUGUGGAGGAACACCGAUGGCGAAGGCAGCCCCCUGGGCCAAUACUGACGCUCAUGCACGAAAGCGUGGGGAGCAAACAGGAU